RNAcentral lists this ribosomal RNA (228 nucleotides) under uncultured bacterium. Its description in RNAcentral is "partial 16S ribosomal RNA". It matches the Rfam family "Bacterial small subunit ribosomal RNA", at positions 111 to 334 of the family's 1533-position model. The record is from RNAcentral.
UAACGCGUAGGUAACCUGCCUGGUAGCGGGGGGUAACUAUUGGAAACGAUAGCUAAUACCGCAUGACAACAGUUAUUGCAUGAUAACUGUUUAAAGGGGGCAAUUGCUCCACUACCAGAUGGACCUGCGUUGUAUUAGCUAGUUGGUGAGGUAACGGCUCACCAAGGCGACGAUACAUAGCCGACCUGAGAGGGUGAUCGGCCACACUGGGACUGAGACACGGCCCAG